This 329-nucleotide ribosomal RNA is filed under the name uncultured eukaryote. RNAcentral's name for it is "partial 18S ribosomal RNA". It matches the Rfam family "Eukaryotic small subunit ribosomal RNA", at positions 1470 to 1796 of the family's 1831-position model. The record is from RNAcentral.
CCCUUAGAUGUUCUGGGCUGCACACGUGCUACACUGGCAGGUUCAGCGAGCUUCAUGCCCUGAUCUGAAAGGAAUGGGAAAUCUUUUCAAAACCUGCCGUGCUUGGGAUAGAUGCUUGCAAUUAUUCAUCUUCAACGAGGAUUGCCUUGUAAGCGCACGUCAUCAGCGUGCAUUGAAUACGACCCUGUAUUCUGUACACACCGCCCGUCGCUCCUACCGAUUGAAUGGUCCGGUGAAAUCUUCGGAUUGCUGACCAAGAUCCAGCAAUGGAGCUUGGUUGCGAGAAGUUGAUUAAACCUUAUUAUUUAGAGGAAGGAGAAGUCGUAACA